RNAcentral lists this ribosomal RNA (1021 nucleotides) under uncultured bacterium. RNAcentral describes it as "bacterial SSU rRNA". It matches the Rfam family "Bacterial small subunit ribosomal RNA", at positions 64 to 1076 of the family's 1533-position model. The record is from RNAcentral.
GGACGGUAGCACAGAGAGCUUGCUCUCGGGUGACGAGUGGCGGACGGGUGAGUAAUGUCUGGGGAUCUGCCCGAUAGAGGGGGAUAACCACUGGAAACGGUGGCUAAUACCGCAUAACGUCGCAAGACCAAAGAGGGGGACCUUCGGGCCUCUCACUAUCGGAUGAACCCAGAUGGGAUUAGCUAGUAGGCGGGGUAAUGGCCCACCUAGGCGACGAUCCCUAGCUGGUCUGAGAGGAUGACCAGCCACACUGGAACUGAGACACGGUCCAGACUCCUACGGGAGGCAGCAGUGGGGAAUAUUGCACAAUGGGCGCAAGCCUGAUGCAGCCAUGCCGCGUGUAUGAAGAAGGCCUUCGGAUUGUAAAGUACUUUCAGCGGGGAGGAAGGCGAUGGGGUUAAUAACCCUGUCGAUUGACGUUACCCGCAGAAGAAGCACCGGCUAACUCCGUGCCAGCAGCCGCGGUAAUACGGAGGGUGCAAGCGUUAAUCGGAAUUACUGGGCGUAAAGCACACGCAGGCGGUCUGUCAAGUCGGAUGUGAAAUCCCCGGGCUCAACCUGGGAACUGCAUUCGAAACUGGCAGGCUAGAGUCUUGUAGAGGGGGGUAGAAUUCCAGGUGUAGCGGUGAAAUGCGUAGAGAUCUGGAGGAAUACCGGUGGCGAAGGCGGCCCCCUGGACAAAGACUGACGCUCAGGUGCGAAAGCGUGGGGAGCAAACAGGAUUAGAUACUCUGGUAGUCCACGCCGUAAACGAUGUCGACUUGGAGGUUGUGCCCUUGAGGCGUGGCUUCCGGAGCUAACGCGUUAAGUCGACCGCCUGGGGAGUACGGCCGCAAGGUUAAAACUCAAAUGAAUUGACGGGGGCCCGCACAAGCGGUGGAGCAUGUGGUUUAAUUCGAUGCAACGCGAAGAACCUUACCUGGCCUUGACAUCCACGGAAUUUGGCAGAGAUGCCUUAGUGCCUUCGGGAACCGUGAGACAGGUGCUGCAUGGCUGUCGUCAGCUCGUGUUGUGAAAUGUG